Molecule: unclassified non-coding RNA, 263 nt
Filed under: plant metagenome
Description: partial contains small subunit ribosomal RNA, internal transcribed spacer 1, and 5.8S ribosomal RNA
Source: RNAcentral
GUUCCGUAGGUGAACCUGCGGAAGGAUCAUUAUUGUAUAACCGAGGUGCGAGGGCUGUCGCUGACCCGAAAGGUCGUGCACGCCCGAGUGCCCUCACACACAUCCAUCUCACCCCUAUGUGCACCACCGCGUGGAUCCCCCUUUGGCUUGUUCGGAGGGGGGCUUACGUUUUCACACAAACUUUGUAUGCAGUGUAGAAUGUAUUUUUUGUUUUUGCGAUCACGCAAUCAAUACAACUUUCAACAACGGAUCUCUUGGCUCUC